CCUACGGGAGGCAGCAGUGGGGAAUAUUGGGCAAUGGACGCAAGUCUGAUCCAGCAACGCCGCGUGAAGGAAGAAGGCUUUCGGGUUGUAAACUUCUUUUUAGGGGGGAGAGCAGAAGACGGUACCCCUUGAAUAAGCCACGGCUAACUACGUGCCAGCAGCCGCGGUAAUACGUAGGUGGCAAGCGUUGUCCGGAUUUUCUGGGUGUAAAGGGCGUGCAGCUGGAGAGACAAGUCAGAUGUGAAAUCCGCGCGCUCAACGGGGGAACUGCCGUUGAAACUGGCAAACUGGAGUGUGUGAGAGGAUAGUGGAAUUCCAGGUGUAGGAGUGAAAUCCGUAGAUAUCUGGAGGAACACCAGUGGCGAAGGCGACUAUCUGGCACAUAACUGACGCUGAGGAGCGAAAGCGUGGGUAGCAAACAGGAUUAGAUACCCGAGUAGUC
Molecule: ribosomal RNA, 442 nt
Filed under: uncultured bacterium
Lineage: Bacteria
Description: partial 16S ribosomal RNA
Rfam family: Bacterial small subunit ribosomal RNA
Source: RNAcentral